Molecule: ribosomal RNA, 1217 nt
Filed under: Lactiplantibacillus plantarum
Lineage: Bacteria; Bacillati; Bacillota; Bacilli; Lactobacillales; Lactobacillaceae
Description: bacterial SSU rRNA
Rfam family: Bacterial small subunit ribosomal RNA
Source: RNAcentral
UGCCUAUACAUGCAGUCGAACGAACUCUGGUAUUGAUUGGUGCUUGCAUCAUGAUUUACAUUUGAGUGAGUGGCGAACUGGUGAGUAACACGUGGGAAACCUGCCCAGAAGCGGGGGAUAACACCUGGAAACAGAUGCUAAUACCGCAUAACAACUUGGACCGCAUGGUCCGAGCUUGAAAGAUGGCUUCGGCUAUCACUUUUGGAUGGUCCCGCGGCGUAUUAGCUAGAUGGUGGGGUAACGGCUCACCAUGGCAAUGAUACGUAGCCGACCUGAGAGGGUAAUCGGCCACAUUGGGACUGAGACACGGCCCAAACUCCUACGGGAGGCAGCAGUAGGGAAUCUUCCACAAUGGACGAAAGUCUGAUGGAGCAACGCCGCGUGAGUGAAGAAGGGUUUCGGCUCGUAAAACUCUGUUGUUAAAGAAGAACAUAUCUGAGAGUAACUGUUCAGGUAUUGACGGUAUUUAACCAGAAAGCCACGGCUAACUACGUGCCAGCAGCCGCGGUAAUACGUAGGUGGCAAGCGUUGUCCGGAUUUAUUGGGCGUAAAGCGAGCGCAGGCGGUUUUUUAAGUCUGAUGUGAAAGCCUUCGGCUCAACCGAAGAAGUGCAUCGGAAACUGGGAAACUUGAGUGCAGAAGAGGACAGUGGAACUCCAUGUGUAGCGGUGAAAUGCGUAGAUAUAUGGAAGAACACCAGUGGCGAAGGCGGCUGUCUGGUCUGUAACUGACGCUGAGGCUCGAAAGUAUGGGUAGCAAACAGGAUUAGAUACCCUGGUAGUCCAUACCGUAAACGAUGAAUGCUAAGUGUUGGAGGGUUUCCGCCCUUCAGUGCUGCAGCUAACGCAUUAAGCAUUCCGCCUGGGGAGUACGGCCGCAAGGCUGAAACUCAAAGGAAUUGACGGGGGCCCGCACAAGCGGUGGAGCAUGUGGUUUAAUUCGAAGCUACGCGAAGAACCUUACCAGGUCUUGACAUACUAUGCAAAUCUAAGAGAUUAGACGUUCCCUUCGGGGACAUGGAUACAGGUGGUGCAUGGUUGUCGUCAGCUCGUGUCGUGAGAUGUUGGGUUAAGUCCCGCAACGAGCGCAACCCUUAUUAUCAGUUGCCAGCAUUAAGUUGGGCACUCUUGGUGAGACUGCCGGUGACAAACCGGAGGAAAGGUGGGGGAUGACGUCAAAUCAUCAUGGCCCCUUAUGACCUGGGGCUACACACGGGC